Molecule: ribosomal RNA, 502 nt
Filed under: uncultured bacterium
Lineage: Bacteria
Description: partial 16S ribosomal RNA
Rfam family: Bacterial small subunit ribosomal RNA
Source: RNAcentral
ACGAACGCUGGCGGCGUGCUUAACACAUGCAAGUCGAACGGUGAAGCGCUUUCCUUUUUGGUUGGUGUGGAUGAGUGGCGAACGGGUGAGUAACACGUGAGUAACCUGCCCCCUUCUUCUGGAUAACCGCAUGAAAGUGUGGCUAAUACGGGAUAUUCUGCGCCUGCUGCAUGGUGGGUGUGGGAAAGAUUGUGCCUUUGGGUGUUUUCGGUGGGGGAUGGGCUCGCGGCCUAUCAGCUUGUUGGUGGGGUGAUGGCCUACCAAGGCGGUGACGGGUAGCCGGCCUGAGAGGGUGGACGGUCACACUGGGACUGAGACGCGGCCCAGACUCCUACGGGAGGCAGCAGUGGGGAAUAUUGCACAAUGGGCGCAAGCCUGAUGCAGCGACGCCGCGUGAGGGAUGGAGGCCUUCGGGGUGUGAACCUCUUUCGCCAGUGAAGCAGGCCUGCUCCUUGUGGGUGGGUUGACGGUAGCUGGAUAAGAAGCGCCGGCUAACUACGUG